UGCCAGCCGCCGCGGUAAGACGAGGGGUCCUAGCGUUGCUCGGAAUCAUUGGGCGUAAAGCGGGUGCAGGUGGCCUUGCAAGUCAGAAGUGAAAGCCCCGGGCUUAACCCGGGAAGUGCUUUUGAUACUGCUAGGCUUGAGUGUGGGAGAGGAUAGUGGAAUUCCAGGUGUAGUGGUGAAAUACGUAGAGAUCUGGAGGAACACCAGCGAGGAAGCUGGCUGUCUGGCCCAACACUGACACUCAGACCCGAAAGCGUGGGGAUCAAACAGGAUUAGAUA
RNAcentral lists this ribosomal RNA (279 nucleotides) under uncultured bacterium. RNAcentral's name for it is "partial 16S ribosomal RNA". It matches the Rfam family "Bacterial small subunit ribosomal RNA", at positions 506 to 784 of the family's 1533-position model. The record is from RNAcentral.